ACAAGCUUCUACCUGUAAUCUCCUGCCUGUUUCCUCCAAAACUGGGCCCCAGGCUUGGGCAAGGGUGAUUCACCCACUUCUGUAGGAGGAAAGAGGACGUCGUAUGGCAGCUACCAGCCCUGACCUAAGGAAUCAGAAUCUUUGGGGUAGGGUUCUGGCAGCUACAUUUUUUUAUCCCCUCCCUCGCACACCCAGGUAGCUCUGUGCCCACAUGGCUUUGCUAACUGCUCUCCUCUCCGUUAUUGAACCCCCUGAAACUUGGCUUUACUAGUAGAAGGACAGUUUCCUAAUGGGGCUUUUGUUCUGAUGACCCACGAAGUAUCACCUGUGAACUUGUGGUAGGCAUGACACGGAUCCCCACCAAAACGCCCGUGUUCUAGUUCCUGGAAUCUGUGCAUGUGUUAUCUUCCCUGGCAGAAGGACUUUUGCAGGUAAGUGCUUACCCUGAAUAUCCAGGUGGGCCUAAUCUAAUCAUGGGAGCCCUUAAAAGAGAACUUUCAGAGGGAGAGGUGACUGCAGAAGAAUGGCCAAAGGGAUACAAUGUGGCUUUGAAGGUGGACGAGGGGGCCAUGGCCAAAGAACGUGAGCAGCCUCUAGGAGAUGAAAAAGACCAAGAAACUGAUUCUCCCCGAGAACUUCUGGAAAGGAACACAGCCCAGCCGACACCUUAAUUUUAGCCAGUGAGACCUGAGUAGGACUUCUAACCUCCAGAACUGCAAGGAAAGUCUUCUCUAUAUUGGAAAAGUUCUCCUUUACUUAUCUAGAACCAAAUCUGGCUGCCAAGGAUCACAGAAUCACACCACAGGCCAGAGGGAAGACCCCUGGAUAUGACAAAGAAAACAAUUUUAAAAUAACAUUGUAUCCUUAAAGCAACUCUAAUGAAUGACUUUCACUAGCAGAUUUUUAAGUAAGCGACAUGCAAAAGAAUGAACCUGGACCACUGUCUUACACCAUACACAAAAAUAAACUCAAAAUGGAUGAAAGACCUCAAUGUAAGACAGGAAGCCAUCAAAAUCCUUGAGGAGAAAGCAGGCAAAAACCUCUUUGAUCCUGGCCGCAGCAACUUCUUACUCAACACGUCUCCGGAGACAGGGGAAACAAAAGCAAAAAUGAGCUACUGGGACCUCAUCAAAAUAAAAAGCUUCUGCACAGUGAAGGAAACAAUCAACAAAACUAAAAGGCAACUGACAGAAUGGGAGAAGAUAUUUACAACAUAUAUUUGCACAUAUAUGUUGCAACGACAUAUCAGAUAAAGGGUUAGUAUCCAAAAUCUAUAAAGAACUCAACACCCAAAAAACAAAUAAUCCAGUGAAGAAAUGGGAAAAAGACAUGAAUAGACACUUUUCCAAAGGAGACAUCCAGAUGGGCAACUGACACAUGAAAAAAUGCUCAACACCGCUCAUCAUCAGGGAUAUACAAAUCAAAACCACAAUGAGAUACCACCUUACACCUGUCAGAAUGGCUAACAUUAACAACUCUGGCAAAAAGAGAUGUUGGCGAGGAUGCGGAGAAAGAGGAUCUCUUUUGCAUUGUUGGUGGGAAUGCAAGCUGGUGCAGCCACUCUGGAAAACAGUAUGGAGUUUCCUCAAAAAACUAAAAAUAGAACUACCCUACGACCCAGCAAUUGCACUACUAGGCAUUUAUCCAAGGGAUACAGGUGUGUGUUUUGAAGGGACACAUACACUCCAAUGUUUAUAGUAGUGCUAUCAACAAUAGCCAAAGUAUGGAAAGUGCCCAAAUAUCCAUCGAUGGAUGAAUGGAUAAAGAAGAUGUGGUAUAUAUAUACAAUGGAGUAUUACUCGGUAAUCAAAAAGAAUGAAAUCUUGCCAUUUGCAACUACGUGGAUGGAACUGGAGGGUAUUAUGCUAAGCGAAAUCAGUCAGAGAAAGACAAAUAUCAGAUGACUUCACUCAUAUGAGGACUUUAAGAGACAAAACAGAUGAACAUAAGGGAAGGGAAACAAAAAUAAUAUAAAAACAAGGAGGGAGACAAAACAGAAGAGACUCAUAAAUAUGGAGA
This is a long non-coding RNA of Neofelis nebulosa (Clouded leopard), 2019 nucleotides long. RefSeq lists it as uncharacterized. The record is from RefSeq and is a predicted model, not a curated record. Lineage: Eukaryota; Metazoa; Chordata; Mammalia; Carnivora; Felidae. The transcript is spliced from 4 exons.